RNAcentral lists this ribosomal RNA (1461 nucleotides) under Salmonella enterica subsp. enterica serovar Typhi str. CT18. Its description in RNAcentral is "bacterial SSU rRNA". It matches the Rfam family "Bacterial small subunit ribosomal RNA". Lineage: Bacteria; Pseudomonadati; Pseudomonadota; Gammaproteobacteria; Enterobacterales; Enterobacteriaceae. RNAcentral also lists the same sequence under 1 other name. The record is from RNAcentral.
GCUGACGAGUGGCGGACGGGUGAGUAAUGUCUGGGAAACUGCCUGAUGGAGGGGGAUAACUACUGGAAACGGUGGCUAAUACCGCAUAACGUCGCAAGACCAAAGAGGGGGACCUUCGGGCCUCUUGCCAUCAGAUGUGCCCAGAUGGGAUUAGCUUGUUGGUGAGGUAACGGCUCACCAAGGCGACGAUCCCUAGCUGGUCUGAGAGGAUGACCAGCCACACUGGAACUGAGACACGGUCCAGACUCCUACGGGAGGCAGCAGUGGGGAAUAUUGCACAAUGGGCGCAAGCCUGAUGCAGCCAUGCCGCGUGUAUGAAGAAGGCCUUCGGGUUGUAAAGUACUUUCAGCGGGGAGGAAGGUGUUGUGGUUAAUAACCGCAGCAAUUGACGUUACCCGCAGAAGAAGCACCGGCUAACUCCGUGCCAGCAGCCGCGGUAAUACGGAGGGUGCAAGCGUUAAUCGGAAUUACUGGGCGUAAAGCGCACGCAGGCGGUCUGUCAAGUCGGAUGUGAAAUCCCCGGGCUCAACCUGGGAACUGCAUUCGAAACUGGCAGGCUUGAGUCUUGUAGAGGGGGGUAGAAUUCCAGGUGUAGCGGUGAAAUGCGUAGAGAUCUGGAGGAAUACCGGUGGCGAAGGCGGCCCCCUGGACAAAGACUGACGCUCAGGUGCGAAAGCGUGGGGAGCAAACAGGAUUAGAUACCCUGGUAGUCCACGCCGUAAACGAUGUCUACUUGGAGGUUGUGCCCUUGAGGCGUGGCUUCCGGAGCUAACGCGUUAAGUAGACCGCCUGGGGAGUACGGCCGCAAGGUUAAAACUCAAAUGAAUUGACGGGGGCCCGCACAAGCGGUGGAGCAUGUGGUUUAAUUCGAUGCAACGCGAAGAACCUUACCUGGUCUUGACAUCCACAGAACUUUCCAGAGAUGGAUUGGUGCCUUCGGGAACUGUGAGACAGGUGCUGCAUGGCUGUCGUCAGCUCGUGUUGUGAAAUGUUGGGUUAAGUCCCGCAACGAGCGCAACCCUUAUCCUUUGUUGCCAGCGGUCCGGCCGGGAACUCAAAGGAGACUGCCAGUGAUAAACUGGAGGAAGGUGGGGAUGACGUCAAGUCAUCAUGGCCCUUACGACCAGGGCUACACACGUGCUACAAUGGCGCAUACAAAGAGAAGCGACCUCGCGAGAGCAAGCGGACCUCAUAAAGUGCGUCGUAGUCCGGAUUGGAGUCUGCAACUCGACUCCAUGAAGUCGGAAUCGCUAGUAAUCGUGGAUCAGAAUGCCACGGUGAAUACGUUCCCGGGCCUUGUACACACCGCCCGUCACACCAUGGGAGUGGGUUGCAAAAGAAGUAGGUAGCUUAACCUUCGGGAGGGCGCUUACCACUUUGUGAUUCAUGACUGGGGUGAAGUCGUAACAAGGUAACCGUAGGGGAACCUGCGGUUGGAUCACCUCCUUACCUUAAAGAAGC